Molecule: ribosomal RNA, 164 nt
Filed under: Kengyilia melanthera
Lineage: Eukaryota; Viridiplantae; Streptophyta; Magnoliopsida; Poales; Poaceae
Description: 5.8S ribosomal RNA
Rfam family: 5.8S ribosomal RNA
About the family: 5.8S ribosomal RNA (5.8S rRNA) is a component of the large subunit of the eukaryotic ribosome.
Source: RNAcentral
CACACGACUCUCGGCAACGGAUAUCUCGGCUCUCGCAUCGAUGAAGAGCGUAGCGAAAUGCGAUACCUGGUGUGAAUUGCAGAAUCCCGCGAACCAUCGAGUCUUUGAACGCAAGUUGCGCCCGAGGCCACCCGGCCGAGGGCACGCCUGCCUGGGCGUCACGC